RNAcentral lists this ribosomal RNA (253 nucleotides) under uncultured bacterium. RNAcentral's name for it is "partial 16S ribosomal RNA". It matches the Rfam family "Bacterial small subunit ribosomal RNA", at positions 524 to 776 of the family's 1533-position model. The record is from RNAcentral.
UACGAAGGGGGCUAGCGUUGUUCGGAAUUACUGGGCGUAAAGGGCGCGUAGGCGGCCUGCUAAGUCGGACGUGAAAUCCCUCGGCUCAACCGAGGAACUGCGUCCGAUACUGGUGGGCUUGAAUCCGGGAGAGGGAUGUGGAAUUCCAGGUGUAGCGGUGAAAUGCGUAGAUAUCUGGAGGAACACCGGUGGCGAAGGCGGGUCUCUGGGCCGAAACUGACGCUGAGGAGCGAAAGCGUGGGGAGCAAACAGG